UGGAUCUUGUACCCAUGUUGAAAACUGAGCAAUUCAAAAACAGAAUACACCAAAUAAAUUAUAAUUGAUCAAAACCCUAAACCGGAUUAUGGCAAAUAUCACAUGAACACAUAACAAAACCUCUUAUCUCUUGUGCUCUCAACAAACUUAUACACAAGCAAAAGAUCAGACUAUCUAAACUCACUCACCUAAGUUUGACUUGCAUGCAACAAGUGCACAUAGGCGCACAGUCAUGUUAUAAGACAAAUUUCUUAGUACAAAAAAUCAGCAUUCAAUAGUGGAAGUUGGACACUGAAAUAGAAACAACUCUUAUUUUUAACAACUACCAUUUUUCCCCUAAAUGAGAAACAAUUACUAUCUAAAUUAUACUCUAUUUCUUUUCUGACCAAGCAUUUCUUAAGUUGCAUUCGGUGAACUUCUGAAUAUAAUCGUGUUGAACUAAAUCCAUUGUAGAACUUAAACUAUUACUAGAUGGAAUCAUAAACGAAAAUCAGAAAAUAAAUUUCCAAAAUGGACGAUAUCCCACGCUUAUUAAAUUCACAAAGAAUUCCAUAAAUCUAAAAUGAAAGCAUUACUAGAUUAGCCGGGUCCCAUAAAAUUCAAAAACCAGAGAAAAAAAAUACAAAACCAAUUCCUUUUCCCACAGAUUCUGAGCAGCCAAACAAAACUAGACAGUCAAAUUCACACAUCAAAAAGAAAACCCCAAACAAAAAAUCAUAUAGCGCGAUAAAAAUUACAAAAAUUCAAACAACUAAAAACGAUUAUAAAAACAAAAUCCAACAGCAAUCAUGUGCUUAAGAUCAAAAUCA
RNAcentral lists this unclassified non-coding RNA (809 nucleotides) under Hevea brasiliensis (rubber tree). The record is from RNAcentral. Lineage: Eukaryota; Viridiplantae; Streptophyta; Magnoliopsida; Malpighiales; Euphorbiaceae.